UUUUAACUCUCGCCGCCGUGACUGCCGGCGGCAACAGAGGAGGCGGAGGAGAAGAAGGAGGAGACUCGCGCGUGGAGAACAUAGAUUAUCUCUGGUUGCUCGACCAACCCAGGAUGACAGAGGUCAAUCGAGGAGUCUCUGCCUGCCUCCCAAGGUGCCUUGUUUGCCGAAGGGUUGACCCUCUUUCCCGAAGAUCGCGUGAUCAAGGAGUAAAGGUGCGCUUGGGCGACUUGAUUUGGUUCGUUUUAGAUCAAGAUCUAUCAGGGAUCUGCUUUCUUAUUUCCAAGGUCUUGGUUCCUGCUGAGGCGAUUGGUGUUACACCUUAUUUUUCAGGCUCCAGGUUUCCUGGCACAGGAUUAAGACUGGAAAUUGGAUUCUUGUGGGCACAUUUGGAUGUCCUGAAGAUUUAUGUCUGUCUUGAGGUCAUGUGAGGACUCAUAACGAAGACUGUAAUGCAGUGUCUAGAAACUAGCACUGCCACAUAUACAAUCCAAAGUAUGGAUGCGGCGGUAUGUAGACAACAAAUUCAUCAUAAUAAAAAAGGAACUAAAGACACAUGAAACAAUCAACGUCUUCAAAGGAAAAAGAAAAUCACAAGAGAAGAAGAAAACAACAAUAACACACUAUCCUUCCUGAAUAUCCUCAUCAGCAGCGAAAAUGGUAGCAAAUUAAAAAUGCUAAUCUGUUGAAGCACAACCCAUACUAAUCAAGUGCUCCAUUACCAAAACAACAAUCCAACAUUCUUUAAGAGGAGCUGUGUAAGAACAUUAUUUAGACCACAAGAAUCUAAAUACACUGCUGCAAUUCAGAAUAUCAUAAAAAGGAAAUGGUCUUCCUAUACACCUUCCAAAAAAAAUGAAUACACAUGGAACUUUAUUAAAAAAAUGCCUGAUCAUUGAACCAGGGAUGAAAUUUACUUACCUUCGCUACCAAUUUGCUACCUCACGCGUGACAUCUCUGUGCAUGGGACAUGAUGACGUCUGGGUGGGUAGGCAGAGCCUCCUGCUGCCUGGCCCUACCAGUUCACCCGAGCUGGAUAGAACCGGCUCAAUUUCACCACUACACUGAACCCACUGCAGCACAAUCAGCAUGAGCUAUUAAAAGGUUAACACUACCAUACAUCAAAAACAUCUCAGAAAUUACAAGCAUACUAUUACCACAUGUCAUAUCGUAGCAGACAAACCAACUGAAGCCCUCUAGAAGAUCUUAAGUAGAUCAAAAGUUCCAGUAGUCCAAGAAGAAUUGAUUUUAUUUUAAACUGGGAUGUCUUGAAUUAUCUAGGACCAGAGUGUUUAGUAUAUUUUAAUUGGUUUUUUAUUAACGUUUGUAUUAAAUGUAUUUUUAUCAUUCGCUGUUCACCGCCCUGAGUCCCUUAGGAAUAGGGCGGU
Molecule: non-coding RNA, 1388 nt
Organism: Pantherophis guttatus
Lineage: Eukaryota; Metazoa; Chordata; Lepidosauria; Squamata; Colubridae
Source: RefSeq, a predicted model, not a curated record